AGUGAACGCUGGCGGUAGGCCUAACACAUGCAAGUCGAACGGCAGCACAGUAAGAGCUUGCUCUUACGGGUGGCGAGUGGCGGACGGGUGAGGAAUACAUCGGAAUCUACUUUUUCGUGGGGGAUAACGUAGGGAAACUUACGCUAAUACCGCAUACGACCUAAGGGUGAAAGCAGGGGAUCUUCGGACCUUGCGCGAUUGAAUGAGCCGAUGUCGGAUUAGCUAGUUGGCGGGGUAAAGGCCCACCAAGGCGACGAUCCGUAGCUGGUCUGAGAGGAUGAUCAGCCACACUGGAACUGAGACACGGUCCAGACUCCUACGGGAGGCAGCAGUGGGGAAUAUUGGACAAUGGGCGCAAGCCUGAUCCAGCCAUACCGCGUGGGUGAAGAAGGCCUUCGGGUUGUAAAGCCCUUUUGUUGGGAAAGAAAAGCAGCAGGUUAAUACCCCGCUGUUCUGACGGUACCCGAAGAAUAAGCACCGGCUAACUUCGUG
This 492-nucleotide ribosomal RNA is filed under the name uncultured bacterium. RNAcentral's name for it is "partial 16S ribosomal RNA". It matches the Rfam family "Bacterial small subunit ribosomal RNA", at positions 29 to 507 of the family's 1533-position model. The record is from RNAcentral.